CGACGGAGUGCUCCAGCUCGUGCCGUGCUCCGAGGCUGCUCUGACAGAGCUGCAGGAAGAGCUGACAAAACCACGUGCAGUCCUAAGUGCGCAGUACAGCCCCAACUGACAUCACCUACAACCGUUCCCCUGAAAGAUUAAGACUGAUACAAGAUGACAUGUUGGAAGAUGCUUUCAAAAAAUUUUCACAAGAUCUUCUGUAAAUGGAGAUGAACACCAAGCUAGACCUUCUGUGGGUGGCAAAACCAAACCAAACAUUGCAAGAGCUCCCUGGCAGAGUGCAGCUGGUUGUCACACGGAGCUUCUGAGAGACAUUUGACACCACUGACUUCUCUGGAGCAACAACUUCAUCCUCUGUGUGGGAGCGGAGUGGCUGAAGAAGAAAGAAUUGACAUACACGAAGUGCCUUGGACAAGCUUGCAGUUCAGAUAAACCAAAUCUCACUCAAACACUCUGCUACUGGACCCAGCAGAAGACAGUGUGCUGUUGAUGUAAAAGGAAUACACCUGCUUUAAUACAUAAAGAACACACCUAUUUCAACCUUCACUCCUAAAGCAAAGCAGUCUUUAGUUCCUGGUGUUUUCUUCAAUGUAAAUUCAAGGUACAAAAAAGGUCAUAACUUUGCAGAAUGGCAGACACUUACUGUGAACCCUCCCCUUUUCCAGACCACAUUUAACCCACAGUCUGUUUCCUCUCCUUAGCAAUCACACUUUUUGUCAUCUGUGGUCCCUAGAUACCUACAGAUUAGUCUUCCUAUGUGCCAGUGCUGAGCAGUAAAGCACCUCAGCAGUCUCACUUUAGUGCCUGGUAAAAUUAUGGAGACUAAUCUGUGAGUUGUUGAAGAGCACUUGGAAGACAAGGUUUGUGAGGGAAA
Long non-coding RNA from Parus major (Great Tit), 874 nucleotides. RefSeq lists it as uncharacterized. The transcript has 5 exons. The record is from RefSeq and is a predicted model, not a curated record. Lineage: Eukaryota; Metazoa; Chordata; Aves; Passeriformes; Paridae.